This 465-nucleotide ribosomal RNA is filed under the name uncultured bacterium. Its description in RNAcentral is "partial 16S ribosomal RNA". It matches the Rfam family "Bacterial small subunit ribosomal RNA", at positions 28 to 507 of the family's 1533-position model. The record is from RNAcentral.
GACGAACGCUGGCGGCGUGCUUAACACAUGCAAGUCGAACGGAAAGGCCCUGCUUGCAGGGUACUCGAGUGGCGAACGGGUGAGUAACACGUGGGUGAUCUGCCCUGCACUUCGGGAUAAGCCUGGGAAACUGGGUCUAAUACCGGAUAGGAGCCAUUUUUAGUGUGAUGGUUGGAAAGUUUUUUCGGUGUAGGAUGAGCUCGCGGCCUAUCAGCUUGUUGGUGGGGUAAUGGCCUACCAAGGCGGCGACGGGUAGCCGGCCUGAGAGGGUGGACGGCCAAAUUGGGACUGAGAAACGGCCCAGACUCCUACGGGAGGCAGCAGUGGGGAAUAUUGCACAAUGGGCGCAAGCCUGAUGCAGCGACGCCGCGUGGGGGAUGACGGCCUUCGGGUUGGAAACUCCUUUCGCUAGGGACGAAGCUUUUUGUGACGGUACCUAGAUAAGAAGCACCGGCUAACUACGUG